Molecule: transfer RNA, 71 nt
Filed under: Marmota monax (woodchuck)
Lineage: Eukaryota; Metazoa; Chordata; Mammalia; Rodentia; Sciuridae
Description: tRNA.Ala
Source: RNAcentral
GAGGUUGUGGCUCAGUGCUAGAGUGCUUACCUAGCACAUGUGAGGCCCUGGGUUCAAUUCUCAGCACCACA